Molecule: ribosomal RNA, 434 nt
Filed under: uncultured Lachnospiraceae bacterium
Lineage: Bacteria; Bacillati; Bacillota; Clostridia; Lachnospirales; Lachnospiraceae
Description: partial 16S ribosomal RNA
Rfam family: Bacterial small subunit ribosomal RNA
Source: RNAcentral
ACGGGAGGCAGCAGUGGGGGAUAUUGCACAAUGGGGGAAACCCUGAUGCAGCGACGCCGCGUGAGUGAAGAAGUAUUUCGGUAUGUAAAGCUCUAUCAGCAGGGAAGAUAAUGACGGUACCUGACUAAGAAGCUCCGGCUAAAUACGUGCCAGCAGCCGCGGUAAUACGUAUGGAGCAAGCGUUAUCCGGAUUUACUGGGUGUAAAGGGUGCGUAGGCGGCAUGGCAAGUCAGAUGUGAAAGACCGGGGCUCAACUCCGGGGCUGCAUUUGAACCUGCCAGGCUAGAGUGCAGGAGAGGCAGGCGGAAUUCCUAGUGUAGCGGUGAAAUGCGUAGAUAUUAGGAGGAACACCAGUGGCGAAGGCGGCCUGCUGGACUGUUACUGACGCUGAGGCUCGAAAGCGUGGGGAGCAAACAGGAUUAGAUACCCUGGUA